RNAcentral lists this signal recognition particle RNA (302 nucleotides) under Aotus nancymaae (Ma's night monkey). Its description in RNAcentral is "Metazoan signal recognition particle RNA (ENSANAG00000000251.1)". It matches the Rfam family "Metazoan signal recognition particle RNA". Rfam says of the family: The signal recognition particle (SRP) is a universally conserved ribonucleoprotein. It is involved in the co-translational targeting of proteins to membranes. The record is from RNAcentral. Lineage: Eukaryota; Metazoa; Chordata; Mammalia; Primates; Aotidae.
GCCGGGUGCGGUGGCACGUGCCUGUAGUCCCAGCUACUCGGGAGGCUGAGGUGGGAAGAUCACUUGAGCCCAGGAGUUCUGUGCUGUAGUGCGCUAUGCUGAUCGGGUGUCCGCACUAAGUUUGGCAUCACUAUGGUGACCUCCUGGGAGCAGGGGACCACCAGGUUGCCUAAGGAGGGGUGAACCGGCCCAGGUGGGAAACAGAGCAGGUCAAAACUCCCGUGCUGAUCAGUAGUAGUGGGAUAGUGCCUGUGAAUAGUCACUGCACUCCAGCCUGGGCAACAUAGCGAGAUACCGCCUCU